GCAGCCGCCGCGGGAAUACGGAGGGGGCUAGCGUUGUUCGGAAUUACUGGGCGUAAAGCGCACGUAGGCGGCUUGGUAAGUUAGAGGUGAAAGCCUGGAGCUCAACUCCAGAAUUGCCUUUAAGACUGCCGAGCUAGCAGGUGAGAGAGGUAAGUGGAAUUCCGAGUGUAGAGGUGAAAUUCGUAGAUAUUCGGAAGAACACCAGUGGCGAAGGCGGCUUACUGGCUCAUACUGGACGCUGAGAUGCGAAAGCGUGGGGAGCAAACAGGAUUAGAUACCCCAGUAGUCCCUGUCUCUUAUAC
This 302-nucleotide ribosomal RNA is filed under the name uncultured bacterium. RNAcentral's name for it is "partial 16S ribosomal RNA". It matches the Rfam family "Bacterial small subunit ribosomal RNA", at positions 508 to 807 of the family's 1533-position model. The record is from RNAcentral.